Pipra filicauda (Wire-tailed manakin) is the source of this 517-nucleotide long non-coding RNA. RefSeq lists it as uncharacterized. Lineage: Eukaryota; Metazoa; Chordata; Aves; Passeriformes; Pipridae. The transcript is spliced from 3 exons. The record is from RefSeq and is a predicted model, not a curated record.
UCAGGCACCUUUUGGCAUCGACUGCAAGCACCAGCCCUAUUCAGUGCUUGAGCAGUGCUUGCGUGCUUGGAAAUGGUGCCAGCAGCAGCAGGAGAAUUAAGGUUGAAGGGAAGCUGAGGAUGGCAUGUUCUCUUCCCAUCGGAUGGGUCCUUUUCCUGAAGAGAAAGGGAGGAAGAGGACAUUGAAGACAAAACAUGCAAAGAAAAUCUCAAGUCAAGUUUGAUUUUAAAUAGAGCAAGAUGUUAUGAGAAGCUGUAUGGUGAGGAACUGUACCAUGUUUGUUCAGAUUGGCUUUCCUGGUUGAUAGCAAGUGUGACAUUUCUAAUGAAAGGGUUUCAGAGUGAGGAGUGGAUGUUGAUUACUACAUUGCAUUACUCAAAGGUGAGAUAGCACUUAUUCACUACUGUUGUGAUAGAAUGGGGAAUCCUAGAAAUUUUCCUAUUUGUUAGCAACCAACAACUACUGCUUCACAGUCUCAUGUAAUGGCUUUAAUGGACCUUGGGGCCUUUACAGGACA